GAAGAGGACCCUGGGAAGGUGGCUCCCGCCUCACUCCUAGAGUGAAAUCCUCGCAGCCCUGCCCUCGCGGGCGGAGCAGAGACGCCGCCGCUUGGCCGGUUCACGCCUGUCACACAAAGCCGCCGAGGGUCGGCUGCGCCCCUGGCAAGGCUGUAGGGCUGGGGAUACUGAGUAUGACAGGCGAGGUCCCUGCUCUCAAGAACUUACAUGGGAGAGAAGGGGAGACAAGAUAAACAGGAGCCAGAGAAUUCUCGUAGCUGUGAUUAGACAUCAACCUUGGGCAUGCUAAACAUUUCAGCCUGGACACCCUGAGAAGAGCCAGUGCCACUGGUGACAGCUGCUUCUGUGCGGGCUUUUGCUUGGCCAGAGAGGCAGGACCUUCUCCCUGGCAUUUUGAGGAGUGGUGCCGGGUGGGCAGUGACUGCACUAGCAACAGUCUAUACCAAGAGAAGACCUCAAAUUCCCAGAGAAGAAAGGCAGCGAGGCCAAGAAAUGCUGCCGCCGCUUAACAAGUGAAGAUGCAUACUGGAGAAUAGGAACUGAACACGCGAAGGAGUUUCGGCUUUACUGCCUUCUCUCCUAGCAUUGAACAGAUCUUCUCUGCUGUUGAUUAUUCUCCAUGAAUCAUCAUCCAUAGAAAGUGACUGAGGCAAUAGAGAGUGAAUAAUGAAUCUCUCAAAUAGUCUUUUGUGUUUCUGCCUGGAGGGUUUUGGAAAUAACUUGCAUCUUAAUCUUUCUGACUUAGAAUCAUAGAAUUUGGGAGCUGAAAAGGACCUUCAUCAGGGCAUGUGGCCUCACAGAAAGACUGGAAGAAAAGAUUUGUGGGUAUGAGCCUCUGGUUCAUCACUAAAAAUAGGCCUAGUCUAACAUAUAUUGGAGGCUUUCCUUGUGUCAGGUACUCAUUUAUUCUUCCAAAACCUUGGGAGGUAGGUGCUGCUAUUCCUCCAUUCUGCAGAGGAGGAAGAGAUGAGGAGACAGUAGAUCACCAGAGGGCAGUGUGAGGGGUGUGCUGGAACCAUCAUGUGGAACUGGCUCUGGUUCCAGAAUCCACAUCCUCUCGGUCAUUCCACUCCCACAUCAAGUGGCUUUGGACAAGUAAUUUAACUUCUUUGGAUCUCAGUUUUCUCCUCCGUGAUCUCUAAAGUUUAAAAAUUACUAACAGUCUGCAUCUGCCACCCAAGCAUGUGAUUUUACAAGUCAGAAAAGUGUAGCGCAGAAAUGUUAAGUGACCUGCCCUAGGUCACCCAGGUUGCUAAGGGCAGAAUCAGCACAGAAACCCAGGCCCAGUGACCACUGCCCCCAGGCAAGACCUCCUUCCCUUCCACUGCACUUUGGCAGGUGUUCUAGGGGAAUCCAACUCCUUGCCUUAGAGGAGACCUGUUCAAUGAUAUCAGAUAGACUGGAGAUGUUACGUUUUGGUGUGGCCAAUCACAACACCAGGAUGAGCUUAGGAGGCUGGUGAUAUUUGUCUAUCUAAGCACCCCCAACCUAUCUAUCUGUCUGCUGUUUGUCUAUCUUUCUCAGGUUAUGCAUAGUGACCAAACCCCGCCUGGUAACUGUAGGGAAAGAGCAUGACUGGUGUGUUACAGCUACACACGCCCCCUGGUGGUAUUUCCAGUUGUUUGUCCUCUUCAUGCAAAUGUUGCCACCUUGUGCCAGCUCUCUCACCUAGCUUCCUUCAUGACGACAGUGGUUGCAAUUCUGCUCCUCUCUCUGCCUUCCCCUGUCCUUGGCUCCCCAUGUCCAGAAUCUGAUCAUUUACUGGUGUGCACCCUGGGAUGUGAUGUGUGCUUUGGGAGGAGACAGGACCCAACAGUAUCUCAGCUGUGCUCUGGUAAUCAGUGUGCACCACAUUACAAGCAUCCUCAUCCCAGUAUCCUCCCUAUUGAAAAAGAAAUGGGAAAGGGGUGGAUGUGUCAAUAAACACAACAUUGAAGGCAUCUGAAAUAGAACAAGGACAUCCUGGGUGAGGCAUU
This 1976-nucleotide long non-coding RNA is filed under the name Homo sapiens (human). RNAcentral describes it as "non-protein coding INKA2-AS1:22". Lineage: Eukaryota; Metazoa; Chordata; Mammalia; Primates; Hominidae. The record is from RNAcentral.